This 578-nucleotide unclassified non-coding RNA is filed under the name Hevea brasiliensis (rubber tree). Lineage: Eukaryota; Viridiplantae; Streptophyta; Magnoliopsida; Malpighiales; Euphorbiaceae. The record is from RNAcentral.
CAGAUAAGAUGCUGAUUGCUUUAGGUAAGUUCUGAGGGACUAUCAAGUUCAUUUUAUUUGCCAAUUUCUAUAGCCCUACAACUUCCCUAUGAAAUUGAAGCUUUGAACUUCCCCUUUUCCCCUUAGCCUGCAAAGAGGACAGCUGUGGACUCUUAAGUUGAUGACAUUUGCUGUUCUAUAUUUGAGAGAAUGCAAAUUGUUAAGUUCAACCAUAUCAGAAAGGGAAAAAAGAAGUAAAACACUCUAAUUAAAAGUGUGGCUUUCUGCAAAUAUUGGUUUAUUUGUAUCAUGUAUAGUAGAGUAGUUCCUCAACAAUAUGUCUUACCUUUAGCUACUCCCUACAGUAUGAGGAGUGUCAAUUGAUGUGUCAUAACAGAAUUUUAGGUUUUAUUGACUGACCUGUCUUGAAUAGAAUUUGAAUUAAUGUUCAUAAACAUUAUCAAGCUUUUGUUGGGCCAGGAUCUCACCAAUUCUGACCUCAUGGUGAAUUUCAACUUAAAGUGUAUAGUUAGUUGGAUGACGAUCAAACAAAGAGUUGGGAAUAUUCUCAUACUGUUAUGAUAUAUCAUAUACAAGUG